GCCUUCGUGGUGUAAUGGUCAGCACAUUGAGCCGGUAUUUCAGAGGUCCGCGGUUCGAUCCCCGGCGAAGGCA
Molecule: transfer RNA, 73 nt
Filed under: Stegodyphus mimosarum
Lineage: Eukaryota; Metazoa; Arthropoda; Arachnida; Araneae; Eresidae
Rfam family: tRNA
About the family: Transfer RNA (tRNA) molecules are approximately 80 nucleotides in length. Their secondary structure includes four short double-helical elements and three loops (D, anti-codon, and T loops).
Source: Rfam by way of RNAcentral